AGGACGAACGCUGGCGGCGUGCCUAAAACAUGCAAGUCGAACGAGACCCUCGGGUCUAGUGGCGAACGGCGGAGUAAUACGUGAACAACGUGCCCCCAAGUCUGGGACAAACGCAGAAAUGCCAUAAAUACCAGAUGUGGACGAGAGAGGACAUCCUCCUUCGUUUAAAGGUUUUUCGCUUAGGGAGCGGUUCACGGCCUAUCAGCUAGUUGGUGGGGUAAAAGCCUACCAAGGCGACGACGGGUAGGGGUCUGAGAGGAUGAUCCCCCGAGUGGGACUGAGACACGGCCCACACACCUACGGGUGGCAGCAG
This 313-nucleotide ribosomal RNA is filed under the name uncultured soil bacterium. Its description in RNAcentral is "bacterial SSU rRNA". It matches the Rfam family "Bacterial small subunit ribosomal RNA", at positions 26 to 354 of the family's 1533-position model. The record is from RNAcentral.